Molecule: ribosomal RNA, 229 nt
Filed under: uncultured bacterium
Lineage: Bacteria
Description: partial 16S ribosomal RNA
Rfam family: Bacterial small subunit ribosomal RNA
Source: RNAcentral
CAUGUAGGCGGUCUUUUAAGUCGAUUGUGAAAUCCCUUGGCUUAACCAAGGAACUGCAACCGAUACUGUGAGGCUUGAGUGUAGGAGAGGAAAGCGGAAUUCCCGGUGUAAGAGUGAAAUCUGUAGAGAUCGGGAGGAACACCAGUGGCGAAGGCGGCUUUCUGGCCUAUAACUGACGCUGAAAUGCGAAAGCUAGGGGAGCAAACAGGAUUAGAUACCCUGGUAGUCC